This 29133-nucleotide long non-coding RNA is filed under the name Pelobates cultripes (western spadefoot toad). Lineage: Eukaryota; Metazoa; Chordata; Amphibia; Anura; Pelobatidae. The record is from RNAcentral.
CUCACAUUGUGCUUUCUGUGCAGCGAGCGGAGGGAGGCUCACAUUGCGCUUUCUGGGCAGCGAGCGGUGGGAGGUUAACAUCGUGCUUCUUGUCCCGCGGAUCGAUACUAGCUAGUUGCCAUGGCGAUUAUAAGGUUAUCUUGGCUUCUGAUCGUUACUGUGCUUGUCCAUAGGGUAAUUUGGCUGCUGGUUGUGAUAGUUACAGCAAUGGCUGUUGGGGUAAUGUGGCUGCUGGUUGUGAUAGUUACAGUACCGGCUGUUGGGGUAAUGUGGCUGCUGGUUGUGAUGGUUACAGUACCGGCUGUGGGGGUAAUGUGGCUGCUGGUUGUGAUAGUUACAGUACUGGCUGUUGGGGUAAUGUGGCUGCUGGUUGUGAUAGUUACAGUACUGGCUGUUGGGGUAAUGUGGCUGCUGGUUGUGAUAGUUACAGUACUGGCUGUUGGGGUAAUGUGGCUGCUGGUUGUGAUAGUUACAGUACUGGCUGUGGGGGUAAUGUGGCUGCUGGUUGUGAUAGUUACAGUACCGGCUGUUGGGGUAAUGUGGCUGCUGAUUGUGAUAGUUACAGUACCGGCUGUUGGGGUAAUGUGGCUGCUGGUUGUGAUGGUUACAGUACCGGCUGUUGGGGUAAUGUGGCUGCUGAUUGUGAUGGUUACAGUACUGGCUGUUGGGGGUAAUGUGGCUGCUGAUUGUGAUGGUUACAGUACUGGCUGUUGGGGGUAAUGUGGCUGCUGGUUGUGAUAGUUACAGUACUGGCUGUUGGGGUAAUGUGGCUGCUGGUUGUGAUAGUUACAGUACCGGCUGUUGGGGUAAUGUGGCUGCUGGUUGCGAUAGUUACAGUACUGGCUGUUGGGGUAAUGUGGCUGCUGGUUGUGAUAGUUACAGUACUGGCUGUUGGGGUAAUGUGGCUGCUGUUGUGAUAGUUACAGUACUGGCUGUUGGGGUAAUGUGGCUGCUGGUUGUGAUAGUUACAGUACUGGCUGUGGGGUAAUGUGGCUGCUGGUUGUGAUAGUUACAGUACUGGCUGUUGGGGUAAUGUGGCUGCUGGUUGUGAUAGUUACAGUACUGGCUGUGGGGGUAAUGUGGCUGCUGGUUGUGAUAGUUACAGUACUGGCUGUUGGGGUAAUGUGGCUGCUGGUUGUGAUAGUUACAGUACCGGCUGUGGGGGUAAUGUGGCUGCUGGUUGUGAUAGUUACAGUACUGGCUGUGGGGGUAAUGUGGCUGCUGGUUGUGAUAGUUACAGUACCGGCUGUUGGGGUAAUGUGGCUGCUGGUUGUGAUAGUUACAGUACUGGCUGUUGGGGUAAUGUGGCUGCUGGUUGUGAUGGUUACAGUACUGGCUGUUGGGGUAAUGUGGCUGCUGGUUGUGAUAGUUACAGUACUGGCUGUUGGGGUAAUGUGGCUGCUGGUUGCGAUAGUUACAGUACCAGUUGUUAUGGUAAUGUGGUUUUAGUCAUAAAGAGCUGGACUCCAAUUUUCUUGCACUAAUAAGACAUAACACUCACAGAUUCCACCACAGAGGAAAUGGAGCCAGUUUGUCCAAGGCAGCAGCUGGUGANNNNNNNNNNNNNNNNNNNNNNNNNNNNNNNNNNNNNNNNNNNNNNNNNNNNNNNNNNNNNNNNNNNNNNNNNNNNNNNNNNNNNNNNNNNNNNNNNNNNGUUACAGAAAUCAAUAAAUCCCAGCACACGGCCAGAUCCUAUGAUAUUCUCAGGGAUUCCUUCCUUUAUGUUAAAAACUGGAGGUUGAGCAAGAUUUAAGUAAUGUCAUGUCUUGGGGAUGCAGUACCGAAGUUAUAUCCAGUAAAGCCAGUGUGCGCUAUACGCAGUGACAAAGCUAGUCAGUAUAGGAAGUGUGCGCUAUAUGUAGUGACCAGGCUAGGUCAGUAUAGGCAGUGUACGCUAUAUGUAGUGACCAGGCUAGGUCAGUAUAGACAGUGUGUGCUAUAUGUAGUGAAAAGGCUAGGUCAGUAGAGGCAGUGUACGCUAUAUGUAGUGACAAGGCUAGGUCAGUAUAGCCAGUGUGUGCUAUAUGUAGUGACAAGGCUAGGUAUGUAUAGCCAGUGUGCGCUAUACUUCCUUCAUGUUACAAACUGGAGGUUGAGCAAGAUUGAAGUAAUGUCACGUCUUGGGGAUGCAGUACCGAAGUUAUAUCUGGUAAAGCCAGUGUACGCUAUAUGUAGUGAAAGGCUAGGUCAGUAUAGGCAGUGUGCGCUAUAUGUAGUGACAAGGCUAGGUCAGUAUAGCCAGUGUGUGCUAUAUGUAGUGACAAGGCUAGGUCAGUAUAGGCAGUGUACGCUAUAUGUAGUGACAAGGCUAGGUCAGUAUAGGCAGUGUGCGCUAUAUUUAGUGACAAGGCUGGGUCAGUAUAGGCUGUGUGCGCUAUAUGUAGUGACAAGGCUAGGUCAGUAUAGGCAGUGUGCCCUAUAUGUAGUGACAAGGCUAGGUCAGUAUAGGCAGUGUGCGCUAUAUGUAGUGACAAGGCUAGGUCAGUAUAGGCAGUGUGUGCUAUAUGUAGUGACAAGGCUAGGUCAGCAUAGGCAGUGUGUGCUAUAUGUAGUGACCAGGCUAGGUCAGUAUAGGCAGUGUGCGCUAUAUGUAAUGACCAGGCUAGGUCAGUAUAGGCUGUGUGCGCUAUAUGUAGUGACAAGGCUAGGUCAUCAUAGGCAGUGUGCGCUAUAUGUAGUGACAAGGCUAGGUCAGUAUAGCCAGUGUGUGCUAUAUGUAGUGACCAGGCUAGGUCAGUAUAGGCUGUGUGCGCUAUAUGUAGUGACAAGGCUAGGUCAGUAUAGGAUGUGUGCGCUAUAUGUAGUGACAAGCAUUGCAAUACACUAAUGAGAAUAAGGUGCCAACCUUGUAAAAUGCUCUUUUAAAAGAAGAAUUUAAAACCUCUGCUUGCUUCAGAAAAUUGUGUCUGUAAAUAACACUUUCAGGGGUCACAUAGCCCACACAUCUUAAAGGGUUCCAUAUUUUAAAGCCUGGCAUAACCUAGGGGCCCAACCCUGAACAGGGAACAGGGGGCAGCAGUGUGAGCGAUUUAACUAUGCUCAGCGAGGGGUGCCAGCCUGCGAAUGGCUCGCUCAGCGAGGCGUGCCAGCCCGUGUAUGGUGUGCUCAGCGAGGGGUGCCAGCCUGCCUAUUGUGCGCUCAGCGAGGGGUGCCAGCCUGCCUAUUGUGCGCUCAGCGAGGGGUGCCAGCCUGCAUAUUGCGCGCUUAGCGAGGGGUGCCAGCCUGCGUAUUACGCGCUCAGCGACGGGUGCCAGCCCGUGUAUGGUGUGCUCAGCAAGGGGUGCCAGCCUGCGUAUUGUGCGCUCCGCGAGGGGUGCCAGCCCGUGUAUGGUGUGCUCAGCGAGGGGUGCCAGCUGGCGUAUGGCGCGCUCAGCGAGGGGUGCCAGCCUGUGUAUGGCGCGCUCAGCCAGGGUGAAAGACUAGGAAGCUUCCUGAGUAAUUCCUCACCCCCUCAGUUUUAUACGCUUUAUAUAUGAAAACUUAAAGUAAAUAAAUAUUUGUGUGUUUCUUAGCAAGUGGCUGCCACUUCCUGAGUGAUNNNNNNNNNNNNNNNNNNNNNNNNNNNNNNNNNNNNNNNNNNNNNNNNNNNNNNNNNNNNNNNNNNNNNNNNNNNNNNNNNNNNNNNNNNNNNNNNNNNNGCUGCGGGGGGUUUGUGCGAUGGCUUCGGAGAGAGGCUGCGGGGGGUUUGUGCGAUGGCUUCGGAGAGAGGCUGCGGGGGGUUUGUGCGAUGGCUUCGGAGAGAGGCUGGGGGGUUUGUGCGAUGGCUUCGGAGAGAGGCUGGGGGGUUUGUGCGAUGGCUUCGGAGAGGCUGGGGGGUUUGUGCGAUGGCUUCGGAGAGGCUGGGGAGUUUGUAUGAUCUGUCCUAUUUUGUGAAGUCAUUUUUAGCAGUAGGAACCAUCAUUAGGCCUCUCGGGCUUCCCAGAUGUAUCAUUGACUUUUGUAUUUAUCUUUUUAACAUCUCUUAUUGUUCAGCUGUUGCUUUCCCGCGAGCUCCUCUUGAUAGUUUUAUUGGAUGUUUUAUGGCUCCCAGCAGGGAUCCUCCAUUAUCAUUUUACUCUAAACAAGGUAUUGAAGGCCCUGUAAAGGAAGAGAUUAAAUCCUGCAGGACCUGCUAAACUUGAUCAGUGAUAAAACUGACUGGCCUGACCCGUCUCCGUACCAAGAGCCAGAAAGGUGUGUGCAAAGCCAAGCAAUGUGUGCCAUUCACACGUACAGCUCCAACAUGGGGGGGGGGGGUAAACGUUCCCAUAAACAUUGUCUGAUUUAUGACAGGUAGACAUUAAAGGUUAGAGACAGCUUUCCUACCUUCUCACAGGUAUGCUCCUGUGAUUGACAAAACAGGUGGCAUGCACUCAUUCCAAGGGGCCAAGAUGGCCGCAGGGCAGAAAUGUGUGCCUGGGACCGACCAUGGAAAGCAUGUAACCGAUAGGCCCCUGCCCAAAGGCCCCUCUCUGCCCUUUUUAAUGACAGGAAUUUGACCUGAGCUGUAAAUAUUCCACGUGUGUACAUACCAUAAAGGGAAGAGAGAAUAAACUGAGCAACACAAACUACCUGACAACAGGAAUGAGCUUUUUUGACACAGUUAUUGAUUUUGUGUUGGUUUAUUUCCUAAUAAAUUAUUGUUGUUCAGUGCACAUUUUCUAGUCAGGGAAUCCCUGCGAUGUUACGCCACAGUGUUUGUCGGUGUAUCCGUGCAGAGGACGGAUUGCUGUGUUUAUUGUCCGUUUUAGUCGUUUUCUGGGAUCUUAUUUAUGCGGUGACACGGAGUUAUUUCUCUGCUGCGCUAAACAGGUGUGCUUAAAAGUUUGCAUACCCUUGGAGAAUUGGUGAUAUAUGUACCAUUUUAAAGAAAACAUGAGUGAGCAGGCACAUUGCUUUUAUUUGUUAUGGGAUUCAUAUUCAACUGUAGGUUAUAACACAAUGGCACAAUAAAAAAUAAAAAAAACUUGGCAACAAAGAAAAAAAUGAAAUGACCCCUGUUCAAAAGUCUGCAUUCCCUUAGUUCUUAAUACUGUGUAUUGCCCCCGUUAGCAUCAAUGACAGCGUGCAGACUUUUGUGCUAGUUGUCUAUGAGGUCCUUAAUUCUUGCAGGUGGUAUAGCGGCCCAUUCGUCUUGGCAAAUUGCCUCCAGGUCAUGCAAAGUCUUUGGUCGUCUUACAUGAACCGCACGUUUGAGAUCUCCCCAGAGGGGCUAGAUGAUAUUAAGGUCAGGAGACUGUGAUGGCCACUCCAGAACCUUCACCUUUUUCUGCUGUAACACUUGAGGGUCAACUUGGCCGUGUGCUUAGGGUCAUUGUCAUGCUGGAAAGUCAAAGAGCGCCCCAUGCGCACCCUUCAUGCAGAAGAAGGCAAAUUGUCUGCCAGUAUUUUCUGAUAACAUGCUGCAUUUAUCUUGCCAUUAAUUUUCACAAGAUUCCUUUAGAGGCCCCUCCUCCCCAAAUAUCAGUGAGCUUUCACAGUGGGGAUGAUAUUCUUUUCACAAUGUUGAAGGGGCCUGUUGACCCCUCUCCAAACACAGCACCUAUGGUUGUGACCAUAAAGCUCUAUUUUGGUCUUGUCACUCCAAAUCACAGUGUGCCAGAAGCUGUGAGACGUGUCAAGGUGUUGUCGGGCAUUUUGUAACCUGGCUUUUUUGUGGCAUGGGCGCAGUAAAGGCUUCUUUCUGGCAACUCGACCAUGCAGCUCAUUUAUGUUCAAGUAUCGUUGUAUUGUGCUCCCUGAAACAACCACACCGUCUUUUUCCUGAGCAGCCUGUAUUUCUCCUGAGGUUACCUGUGGGAUUUUAUUUGUACCCCGAACAAUUCUUCUAGCAGUUGUGGCUGAAAUCUUUCUUGGUCUACCUGACCUUGGCUUGGUAUCAAGAUAUCCCCGAAUUUUCCACUUCUUAAUAAGUGAUUGAACAGAACUGGUUGGCACUUUCAAGGCUUUGGAUAUCUUUUUAUAUCCAUUUCCAUCUUUAUAAAGUUCCAUUACCUUGUUACGCAGGUCUUUUGACGGUUCUUUUCUGCUUCCCACGGCUCAGUAUCUAGCUUUCCUCGCUUUUAUUUUUACAUAUUACAAUGAGGAAACUGGUAGCUCCCUCCUUGUAAUAAACUGAACCAACUUAGACUGAAUUACAAUUCGUUUUUUGUUUCAUUCUAUGUGAUUUCUCUAAGUUUGUCUUUUUGGCAAAUGAACGAAUAGCCGAAAUUUAGUUUGAAAUUUGGACAAUGGUGAAUGCCCAAGUGUACAACUUGCUUGCACGCAAAUUUCACAGUCCGAGCUAGUGUGGGCAGAUGAAGCCCAUGCGGUACACGUCAUCCAUGAAAUGUUAAGAUGGCGGUGCCUAGGAGAUCGAUCGGGAGAAGAAAUUCAUUUUUUUCAGUGAAAAUGGACAACGGUUAGAUACCAAUUCCUGACGAGAAAGAUUUCAUGUGGAAGUGCUGGCCCUGACUGUGUAAUGUGUCACCGCUCUCCUUGGGGCCACACCUUGUAUUCCCCUGCUGUGAACAUUUCUGAGAUUUGGGGAAGUUAAAGCAGUCUUGCACAGAAAGUUUGGGAGAAGCUUACUGUUUUAUAUUGACUUAUUAAUGACUCGGGUAUGCCAUAAAGACACAGUGAUAUUGAACCUUGGGAUUGUCCCUUAUAAUGUCAAGCUAUUGGCAGAAUAGCAUGAUUGGGCUAAAGGGGGGGUAGAUGUACUUCUGGUUGGGGUGAAGGGGUUCAUACUGUGCACACAGUCUAUAUAUCUUAGUGCCUGUGUGAAGAGUCUGUCGGUUUCCCUGUAGAGGGCGCUCUUUGCGCACUGACUGUUGGAAACCAAGGUCUGUAAUGACUUCUAUAAUUUCUUCGUAGUCUCCUGCUGCGGAUUAUCUUGGCGCUGCAUUAGGUGACAAUAUAUAGAAUUAUUUUAAAAAAUGUAAUCUUUAUCCUCCCUUCUACCUCCAGUCACCUGGGUGCCUUUAGUGAUCAUUUAACGAUGAAAUUAUUGAACUGGCUCCAGUUUUAUUGGUUAAUCACUCGUAUUUGGAGAAAAAGUUAAAUUAUUAUUUUAUUUAUAUAGCGCCAGCAAAUUCCAUAGUGCUGUACAAUGAAAGGUAUUCAUUGUGUAUACAUAGAUUGGCAAAAUAACAGUGGGGUUAAGAUCUGUGUCUGAACUCUGUUUUAUAACAUUAAUUUCUGUGAAAUACUGCAUGUUCUCUCUGCAGACACGAGUUCAGUAACUUGGAUUAAUAGAAUGAAAUGACCAAUAAUGUAAAAUAUUACACGAACAGACCGCUUCGUGCUGCAUUACUAAUCCCUAUUUCAUGUUGAAUUGGACUAUAAUCUAUUUUAGAAUUAAAUAAAGGAAGGCUUAUUUUUUUUUUCUUCUUCUCUCCAAAAGCAUUUUAUUAAAAGAAAUCCGAUUUUUACAUAUUUUUUUUUUUUUUUAAAUCCUAAUUUUUUUUCUAUAUGUAUGCAAAUCAUCCAUCCGCCCUGCUUUGCNNNNNNNNNNNNNNNNNNNNNNNNNNNNNNNNNNNNNNNNNNNNNNNNNNNNNNNNNNNNNNNNNNNNNNNNNNNNNNNNNNNNNNNNNNNNNNNNNNNNGGUAUUGUGGGAGGGUUCAGGGUAUUACAGGCAGGUUCAGGGUAUUGUGGGAGGGUUCAGAGUAUCACAGGCAGGUUCAGGGUAUUACAGGCAGGUUCAGGGUAUUGUGGGAGGGUUCAGGGUAUUACAAGCAGGUUCAGGGUAUUGUGGGAGGGUUCAGGGUAUUGUGGGAGGGUUCAGGGUAUUACAGGCAGGUUCAGAGUAGUGUGGGAGGGUUCAGCUGCGGAAAGAUGUUAGUGGCAUAAUGCUUAAAUAGAAAAAGGAACCACACUCAAUUCAGUUAAGACCGGGUGCUUAGCUGAACCAAGGGCCAGUACAUGCCCAGGAGAUAAUAAAUACCAGUAUUAGAAAAUGGGUCCAGACACUCCAAUGUCUUCAGGCACCUUUAUUAGAACAUGUUGGAGAGCCGGUGUUCUAUCAAAUUUCCCUACCCGUGAAAAUCCCCUACCCUUGUCACUUCUGGCGAGGGGAAUCAGCUGUUUAACCCUUACCCCAAGGGUUAGGGUAAGAAUAGAGUGUGAGAGAGGUUAGAAUCACUUACCUAACCCUAAUUUGAACCCUAACAUUAACCCUAAAUGUCCCAUGUCCUAAGCUUAGUGAAUUCCCUAACUAUAGUUUUACUUACCUUCCAGGACCUUGCUGUGGAGGAGUAGCAGGAGUGCUAGCAUGCAUGUGCAAUACAGGAUCCAGCUGAUUCCCUUCACCGGAAGUGACAAGGGUAGGGGAUUUUCACGCGGUAGGGGAAUUUGAUAGAACACCGGUGAUGUAAUGAAGUGCCGGUGAUGUAAUAUUGGCGUACCAGUGAUGUGAUGUAAUGUUGAGGUGCCGGUGAUGUAAUGUGGGAGUACUGGUGACUUAAUGUGGUGCCGGUCAUGCAAUAUUGUAAAUAGGGUAGUGGCACUCUGCUGACUUAAUGGUGCCGGUAUUGAGGCACACCCACCAAAAUAUACAAAAUAUAUAUAAUACUGCACUCAAUUUCCUAUUUGCAAAUGCUCACAAAUGACUCUUUAUUACAUAUACAAAACUAUUAUAGUUUAUGGAAUGAUAAUAUAUUACGAAAAAAUAUUUAAAAUAUAGUGCAAACGGUGCGAAAUAACCAACACCACAAUAUGUGAACAGAAAAAAAGGGUGUACUGAUUAUUUACUGCUGAGUUCAUGUUGGGGAGUGUUAAAGUGUUGGUGUAAACCUGGUGUGCACAUAGUGCAAUGAUUGUGAAGUGAUGGUGUAAACCGGGAGUGUUGGUGGUCUGAUGGUCAAAGUAGAUUGAUACUUUAGAGAGAGUUCAGAGAAGGGCUGGUUAAUGGAUUGCAGGAUAAAACUUACCAGGAAAGGUUAAAUGAUCACUUGGUAUCCUUUAGAGGCAUUAAAUGGCAACAAGUGAUAUUUAGAGGUACUUGGUGGUACUGGAUGGGUAACACUGAGAGUUAUUUAUAGUGUUGAGAGACAUAGUAUUCAGGUGUAGUUAGUGCCACGGGUGGUAUUUAGUGGCUUUGAGAAGUAUUGAGUUGGAUUUGGCAUCAUUGAGUGCCAUAUCGUGGCAGUGAGUGGUAUCUAGUGGCAUGGAAAAGUUUUUUUGUGCCAAUGGUUGUGUUUAGUUGCAUUGGGAUGCAUGUGGUGUUGCUGAUAGGUAUAGAGUGGUAAUGAAAGAUAUAGUGGUACUGAGAGGCUUUGAUUACUAUUCAUUGGCAGUAGUUAGUAUUUAGUGGUAUUAAAUAGCACCAAGAGGUAUUUAACGGCAAUUUAGCAUUCUCAAGUACUUGGUGGCAUACUGCCUUGAGUGGCAUCCAGUAUGUAGCGGAGAGCUGGUCUUUCACAGGUUAAUUCCACUAAAGAUCCCAGUAAGGCAUCAGGAGCAUAACUGACUUUUAAUCCACACAACCUCCUUUUAAAGCAUUCUCCCAUGCAAGGGAGGGAUUCACCAUAAUUAGUCCAGUAGCCAUUACUGUAACAGUACCUCCCACACAUCUCCUCCCCUCAGUGUGACACAUAAUCCUAUUAAAUAUACUGUACUUUUCCCUGAAUUCUAGAUGUUCACCCAAAACAAGCAGUUAGAAUAAUACUUUGGGUACACCCUGGUAGCCGUGAUCUGGGUGACUAACGUAUCCAAAAUUCACCCAGAUCGGACCAGGGGUUCGGGAGUUAGGUUGGGGGUGUAAUUUGACCGACUGCACACACGAGGUGAUAUCCAAAAAAGGCUCCAUGUGUUUUGGCCUUGCGGUCGGUCUCUGUUCGGGAGUUAAUAUUCCAUUCGCAUCAAUCCCCUUGUUCGGGACAUUGAUUUUACCGAACAGAGGGCUGACUAGUCCCUCCGUUCGUGAGUUAUGGAACUCUGGAGGUCUCAGUGGUGUUCGGUUGUUUGAGUGUCCGAUUUGAGUUCCAGACACUCGACGACCAAACACCGCUGAGAUUUUCAUGCGUAAUCUGGCCGCCGCACGUGGUUCGUAUGCUGAACGGCGACCACACAGGCACAUACAAUGAAUCAAUUAAACUGCGGUUUGCAGAGUGUGAACGCUUAACAAGGCGCACACUUCUCACUGGGGUGGUCUGAUGGUUCGGUAGUUUCAUUCGUAUGAAACUACCGAACCAUCAUAGGAAUACUACAUACACUUUACAGAUAUACAGGGAAACAAUUAUGCGAAUACAUUUUCUAUACAGAUUUCUAUGGACAGCAUCAAUACAAUCCGCUACACAGUAGCACUGAGUAUUUGUUGGAAUUGAUUAGUCUAAAAUGGUAUUUAGUGGCUUUGAAAGGUAUUAUAUGGUGCUGAGUUAUGUAUAAUGACAGUGAGAAGUAUUUGUGGCACUGGGUGAUAUUUAGUGUCAGUAAGAGGUAUACAGUGUCUCUGGGUGACGGUUUAAUGGUACUUGGUGGCACUGGGUGAUAUUUAGUGGCAGUAAGAGGUAUACAGUGUCUCUAAGUGACGGUUUAAUGGUACUUGGUGGCACUGGAGGAUAUUUAGUGGCAGUGAGAGGUAUACAGUGUCUCUGAGUGAUGGUUUGAUGGCACUGGGUGAUAUUUAGUGGCAGUAAGGGGUAUACAGUGUCUCUGAGUGAUGGUUUAAUGGUACUUUGUGGCACUGGGUGAUAUUUAGUGGCAGUAAGAGGUAUACAGUGUCUCUGGGUGACGGUUUAAUGGUACUUGGUGGCACUAGGUGAUAUUCAGUGGCAGUAAAUGGUAUACAGUGUCUCUGGGUGUAUACUUGGUGGCACUAGGUGAUAUGUAGUGGCAGUAAGAGGUAUACAGUGUCUCUGAGUGAUGGUUUAAUGGUACUUGGUGGCACUGGAGGAUAUUUAGUGGCAGUAAGAGGUAUACAGUGUCUCUGAGUGAUGGUUUGAUGGCACUGGGUGAUAUUUAGUGGCAGUAAGGGGUAUACAGUGUCUCUGAGUGAUGGUUUAAUGGUACUUGUUGGCACUGGGUGAUAUUUAGUGGCAGUAAGAGGUAUACAGUGUAUCUGAGUGAUGGUUUAAUGGUACUUGGUGGCACUGGGUGAUAUUUAGUGGCAGUAAGAGGUAUACAGUGUCUCUGAGUGAUGGUGUAAUGGCACCUGAUGGCAUUGGGUGAUAUUUAGUGGCAGUAAGAGGUAUACAGUGUCUCUGAGUGAUGGUUUAAUGGUACUUGGUGGCACUGGGGGAUAUUUAGUGGCAGUAAAUGGUAUACAGUGUCUCUGGGUGUAUACUUGGUGGCACUAGGUGAUAUGUAGUGGCAGUAAGAGGUAUACAGUGUCUCUGGGUGACAGUGGCACUAGGUGAUAUUCAGUGGCAGUAAAUGGUAUACAGUGUCUCUGGGUGACAGUUUAAUGCUACUUGGUGGCACUAGGUGAUAUUCAGUGGCAGUAAAUGGUAUACAGUGUCUCUGGGUGACGGUUUAAUGCUACUUGGUGGCACUGGGUGAUAUUCAGUGGCAGUAAGAGGUAUACAGUGUCUCUGAGUGAUGGUUUAAUGGUACUUGGUGGCACUGGGGGAUAUUUAGUGGCAGUAAGGGGUAUACAGUGUCUCUGAGUGAUGGUUUAAUGGUACUUGGUGGCACUGGGUGAUAUUUAGUGGCAGUAAGAGGUAUACAGUGUCUCUGGGUGACAGUUUAAUGGUACUUGGUGGCACUAGGUGAUAUUCAGUGGCAGUAAAUGGUAUACAGUGUCUCUGGGUGUAUACUUGGUGGCACUAGGUGAUAUGUAGUGGCAGUAAGAGGUAUACAGUGUCUCUGGGUGACAGUUUAAUGCUACUUGGUGGCACUGGGUGAUAUUUAGUGGCAGUAAGAGGUAUACAGUGUCUCUGGGUGACAGUUUAAUGCUACUUGGUGGCACUGGGUGAUAUUUAGUGGCAGUAAGAGGUAUACAGUGUCUCUGGGUGACAGUUUAAUGCUACUUGGUGGCACUAGGUGAUAUUCAGUGGCAGUAAAUGGUAUACAGUGUCUCUGGGUGAUGGUUUAAUGGUACUUGGUGGCACUGGGUGAUAUUUAGUGGCAGUAAGGAGUAUACAGUGUCUCUGAGUGAUGGUUUAAUGGUACUUGGUGGCACUGGGUGAUAUUUAGUGGCAGUAAGGAGUAUACAGUGUCUCUGGGUGACAGUUUAAUGGUACUUGGUGGCACUGGGUGAUAUUUAGUGGCAGUAAGGGGGGUAUACAGUGUCUCUGAGUGAUGGUUUAAUGGUACUUGGUGGCACUGGGUGAUAUUUAGUGGCAGUAAGAGGUAUACAGUGUCUCUGGGUGACAGUUUAAUGGUACUUGGUGGCACUAGGUGAUAUUCAGUGGCAGUAAAUGGUAUACAGUGUCUCUGGGUGUAUACUUGGUGGCACUAGGUGAUAUGUAGUGGCAGUAAGAGGUAUACAGUGUCUCUGGGUGACAGUUUAAUGCUACUUGGUGGCACUGGGUGAUAUUUAGUGGCAGUAAGAGGUAUACAGUGUCUCUGGGUGACAGUUUAAUGCUACUUGGUGGCACUGGGUGAUAUUCAGUGGCAGUAAGAGGUAUACAGUGUCUCUGGGUGACAGUUUAAUGCUACUUGGUGGCACUAGGUGAUAUUCAGUGGCAGUAAAUGGUAUACAGUGUCUCUGGGUGAUGGUUUAAUGGUACUUGGUGGCACUGGGUGAUAUUCAGUGGCAGUAAGAGGUAUACAGUGUCUCUGAGUGAUGGUUUAAUGGUACUUGGUGGCACUGGGGGAUAUUUAGUGGCAGUAAGGGGUAUACAGUGUCUCUGAGUGAUGGUUUAAUGGUACUUGGUGGCACUGGGUGAUAUUUAGUGGUAGUAAGAGGUAUACAGUGUCUCUGGGUGACAGUUUAAUGGUACUUGAUGGCACUAGGUGAUAUUCAGUGGCAGUAAAUGGUAUACAGUGUCUCUGGGUGUAUACUUGGUGGCACUAGGUGAUAUGUAGUGGCAGUAAGAGGUAUACAGUGUCUCUGGGUGACAGUUUAAUGCUACUUGGUGGCACUGGGUGAUAUUUAGUGGCAGUAAGAGGUAUACAGUGUCUCUGGGUGACAGUUUAAUGCUACUUGGUGGCACUGGGUGAUAUUUAGUGGCAGUAAGAGGUAUACAGUGUCUCUGGGUGACAGUUUAAUGCUACUUGGUGGCACUGGGUGAUAUUCAGUGGCAGUAAAUGGUAUACAGUGUCUCUGGGUGAUGGUUUAAUGGUACUUGGUGGCACUGGGUGAUAUUUAGUGGCAGUAAGGAGUAUACAGUGUCUCUGUGUGAUGGUUUAAUGGUACUUGGUGGCACUGGGUGAUAUUUAGUGUCAGUAAGAGGUAUACAGUGUCUCUGGGUGACAGUUUAAUGGUACUUGUUGGCACUGGGUGAUAUUCAGUAGCAGUAAGAGGUAUACAGUGUCUCUGAGUGAUGGUUUAAUGGUACUUGAUGACACUAGUUUGACGGUAUUAGUAAAUGAUUGUUGGUAUUGUGACAUUGUUGCAGUAUGUGGAAGAGGUAUUCGGUGACAGCAGUGCUAAAUGCAGAGUGCUCUGUACUCACUGACUCAGGCUGCAGCUGUUUCUUUAAGGGGCAGGGCAGAACAGUGACCCUGCCAUGGGGUUUGGCUCUGUUUUUUUUUUUUUAUUUGGGAUCUGAGGGAGCAUGGGACACUGUGUGAGAUACAGAGACUGCAACCGGCCUGGACUGGGGCACACACACUGACAGCAAGGUAGACACACUCACUGAGACACUCUACUCCCUUCCAGCCACUAUACAGAGAGUGAGUGUACUGGGCACUAUAUAGAGAGACAGACUGAGAGUACUGGGCACUAUAUACAGAGACAGACUGAGAGUACUGGGCACUAUAUACAGAGACAGACUGAGAGUAUUUGGCACUAUAUACAGAGACAGACUGAGAGUACCGAGCACUAUAUACAGAGACAGACUGAGAGUACUGGGCAAUAUAUACAGAGACAGACUGAGAGUACCGAGCACUAUAUACAGAGACAGACUGAGAGUACCGAGCACUAUAUACAGAGACAGACUGAGAGUACUGAGCACUAUAUACAGAGACAGACUGAGAGUACUCGGCACUAUAUACAGAGACAGACUGAGAGUACCGAGCACUAUAUACAGAGACAGACUGAGAGUACUCGACACUAUAUAGAGAGACAGGCUGAGAGUACUCAGCACUAUAUACAGAGACAGACUGAGAGUACUGGGCACUAUAUACAGAGACAGACUGAGAGUACCGAGCACUAUAUACAGAGACAGACUGAGAGUACUGGGCACUAUAUACAGAGACAGACUGAGAGUACCGAGCACUAUAUACAGAGACAGACUGAGAGUACUCGGCACUAUAUAGAGAGACAGACUGAGAGUACUCAGCACUAUAUACAGAGACAGACUGAGAGUACUGGGCACNNNNNNNNNNNNNNNNNNNNNNNNNNNNNNNNNNNNNNNNNNNNNNNNNNNNNNNNNNNNNNNNNNNNNNNNNNNNNNNNNNNNNNNNNNNNNNNNNNNNCGAACUUACGAGCUCCUGGAGGUCUCAGCGGUGUUCGCCUGUUUGCGUAUCCGUUUUUAGUUCCAUGCGUUCUAGGGAUCGACCCAUAUUGAUUUUUUAGAGCCGAUACCGAUACCGAUAAUCUGCAAACUUUCAGGCCGAUAGCCGAUAUCUUGCCGAUAUUCUGUACAUUUACUAUUUUGAAUAAAUAAACUAAUUCGAAAGGUAAAUGCACAAAAUAUACAUGCCACAUGUAGUGGAUGAAGUGUGUUUAGACAGGGGAACUGUGUGUGUUUGUGUAGUGUGUGUGUGUGUGUGUGUGUGAAGUGGAUGCAGAGUGUGUGUUUGUGUAGUGUGUGUGUAUAAUGAAUGUAGUGUGUAUAUAAUGCAGUGUGUUUAUGUAGUGUGUAGCGGAGAGCUGAUCUCUCACAGCUAUUCUCCGCUUAAGAUCCUAGUGAGGCUCAGGAACGAGUCAGUAGUAACUCCACAGCAUAGUUUUCCAUCAGGUAACAGGUACAGCAAUAUCCCCACGACACUCCCAAUAACUGGACGACACACAGUUUCAGGAGUAGAAGAACUGACUCUCAUUUAUUCCACAGUUCUUUAUAAAGCCUGCUCCCAUGCAAGGGAGGGAACAACAUGAAUUAUGACAUUAGCCAAUACAGUGCUUGUUACCUCCCACACCUCUCCUCCCCUCAGAGUGAGUCAUAAUCCCCUUAACUGGUACAGCAAUUCACCCCGAACCUAGAUGUACCCCUAAACCAUUAUACAACCUUAAUAUUAGAGUACCGCUAGGUAGCCCUGAUCUGGGUGACUAUUAUAUCCAAAAUUCACCCAGAUCAGACCAGGGGUUCGGCAGUUAUAGAGAGGUGAAGUUUGACCGACCGCACACGAGUUGGUAUCCGAAAAGGGUUCCAUGAGUUUGGGCCCUGCGGUCGGUCUCCGUUCGGCAGUUAAAACACACAUUGAUACUGGCCCUUUACACUUAUAUUCGCCUAGAUACUGAUUCCCCCAUUCGGUACUUUGUUUCUACCGAAUGGGGAGUUGUUCAGACUUUCCGUUCGCCAGAUACGGAACUCCGGAGGUCUCAGCGAUGUUCGGUUGUUUGAGUAUCCGAUUUGGGUUCCAGACACUCGACGACCGAACACCGCUGAGCUUUUCAUGCGUAAGAUGGCCGCCGCCACGUGUACGCAUGCCGAAUGGCGGCCACCCAGAUACAUUGUUAACUUGCGGUUUUCACGGUAUGCAACCUUAAUUACCAACACACUUCUCUCUGGGGUGGUCUAUCAGUUCGGUAGUUUCCAUACGUAUAUGGUACGGAUGGAAACUACCGAAUAGCAUAUAUUCACACAAUACAACAUACGAAAUGGGAGAAGUAACACAGGCAGAAUGUACAAAAGAUAAUCACACAGGCAGGUUAUAGGACAGGCUUACUGCAUUCCGCUACAUAGUGUGUGUAUAAUGCAGUGUUUUUGUGUGUGUAUGUAAUGCAGUGUGUGUGUUAGUGUAGUGUGUAUGUGUAUGUAUGUAAUGUGUGUAUGUAAUGUAGUGUGUGUAUGUAAUGCAGUGUGUGUUUGUGUAGUGUGUAUGUAAUGUAGUGUGUAUGUAAUGCAGUGUGUGUGUAUGUAAUGCAGUAUGUGUGCAGUGUGUUUGUGUAGUGUGUGUGUAUGUAAUGCAGUGUAGUGUGUGCAGUGUAGUGUGUGCAGUGUGUGUGUCUGUUAUGCAGUAUGUGUGCAGUGUGUGUUUGUGUAGUGUGUGUUUGUGUAGUGUGUGUGGUCUGUGUAGUGUGUGUGUGUCAGUGUGUAGUGUGUAUGUAAUGCAGUAUGUGUGUAUGUAAUGCAGUAUGUGUGCAGUGUGUGUUUGUGUGUGUGUUUGUGUAGUGAUGUAAUUUGUGUAAUUUUUUAUUUUAAUAUUUUUUUUAAUAUUUAAAUGUUGUUUUUUGUUUAGUUCCCCCUCCCUAGUUUGUGUUUGUGUAGUGUGUGUGUGUAAUGCAGUGUGUGUGUCUGAGUAGUGUGUAUGUAAUGCAGUAUGUGUGCAGUGUGUGUUUGUGUAGUGUGUGUUUGUAAUGCAGUGUGUGUGUCUGAGUAGUGUGUAUGUAAUGCAGUAUGUGUGCAGUGUGUGUUUGUGUAGUGUGUGUGUAAUGCAGUGUGUGUGUCUGAGUAGUGUGUAUGUAAUGCAGUAUGUGUUCAGUGUGUGUUUGUGUGUGUUUGUGUUGUGUGUGUGUGUGUGUGUGUUGAGAUGUAAUUUGUGUAAUUUUUUAUUUUAAUAUUUUUUUUAAUAUUUAAAUGUGUUUUUUUUUGUUUAGUCCCCCCUCCCUGCUUCUUACCAGGGAGGGGGAUAUAGUAUUCCCUGGUGGUCCAGUGGCUUGUUAAGUACAGUGGUGGCUCAGCAACAGCAAGCGCUGACUUACCUUGCAAGCAGCUCCUACAGCUCUCUGUGUAAAUCUCGCGGCUCAGUGCCGCGCGGAGCGUUGCCAUGGUAACCCGUGGCAACGCUCUGCGGCCGCGGGUCUCGCGAGAUUUACACAGAGAGCUGUAGGAGCUGCUUGCAAGGUAAGUCAGCGCUUGCUGCUGGCCCCCACAGGACCGCCGGGCUUGUAAUGGGCCCGGCGGUCCUGUUAUAUAUAAUCGGCAAUAUCGGUAUCUGAAUUGGCCGAUACCGAUAUUGCUGAAAAUACCAAAUAUCGGCCGAUAAUAUCGGCCAGACCGAUAAUCGGUCGAUCCCUAAUGCGUUCACAGGCAAACACCACCGUUCAUGCGUAAGAUGGCCGCGAACACGUGUAAAGUCCCGAAAUGGCGGCCAUCUAACCUAAGCACAAAGGGAUUCGUCUGAACCAUGCGAACGGCUCCACAAUCACUGGGAGGUAAAAUAGCGAUUAACUGUUCCCCUGGGUGGUCUGAUGUUCGGUAUUUUGGGUUGUAUGUUAUAGUAGCAAUAUUCCCACGAAAACCAGCCAUUCGGUUCUGUUUAACCCCUCCAGCAGCAUUGUUGAUUAAGUCCAGGCAAAACUAUAGGCAUAAUCAUAGUUCUGUUACACAGGACAUCCAAGCGAUCAACCCCCCUGCUAGACCGGGGGCAAUCGUAACAAUUGGUGGCAGAAGUGGGAUCAUCCUGGGAUUCCUAAGAGAGCUACGGAACGGAUGGAGAGUAAUUACGAGAAGCUGAAACGUACCACGCUGAAAGAUCUGCUCGAGAACCGAGGUGGGAACGCGAGCAAUAGACCUAGGAGAGAAUUGAUUGCGGACCGGACCGAGAUGGACCAGAGCUUCACCACGGCAGAACCCACGAGCCUACCUAACGAUGAGAAGACAAGAAUUGUCCGGGAAAGGCUUCCCCUAUACGGGCCGAACCCUUCCGUGGAAUUAGUGAGACAGCUGAUGGCGGUGUCAGAGGCGGAUAUCGAAAGGGCUCGAGCCCAUGAGCUCAGCCUGAAAACUGCAGCACUUGGGGCCUCCAACAACCGAAAAUCCCAUUCGCGGCCUUCAAACCAUUCGUGGAGAACGAGAUGGGGAUCGACUAAUUCCUAACCGAUUUUGAGCGACAGUGUGGUUUACAUCAAAUCCCCACAACGGCCUGGCCGCGGAUACUGGCAGGGAAACUAGCCGGGCGGGCAAUGGAGAAGGUAUGCAGUAACCCCCGACACGUACCGAAGGCAAUUCCGUGACACGAAAAAGAAGCCGAAUGAUACCCAUGCCGAAUGGGCUCACAGAAUGCGGAGAGCAGCGACACAUUGGAUGAAUGGGUGUCGGGCAGUCACAGCAGCUGAAGUGUUGGAACUGUUUUUAUUAGAGCAUUUUUAUGAGGGACUGGAAUAAAAGGACCGGGAAUAGUUAAAGGAUCGCCGGCCGAGCGAUCUUAACGAAGCUGCGAGACUAGCGGACGAGCACCGGGACGCUCGGAUACAAGAAUUUAGUAGCUCCCGAACGGCCCCUCGCACCGAAUCCAGGGACACGUACCGUCCAACUCCGCGAACUGAAUUUUGCACGCCGGGCGGCCCAGGAACAACAGAAGGUCUGGUAUGACCGGGGAGCAAGAAAAAGGAGUUUCUGUGUAGGGCAGAAGGUGAUGGUGCUUAAACCUGUCAAAGCAGACAAGUUGCAAGCAGCAUGGCAGGGACCGUACCAGAUAGUAGAGAAAAUCACCACUUAUGUGAUUUCCAGUUGUCACGACGAAACCUUAAGGAAGAUAUUCCAUGUAAACAUGUUAAAGGAAUAUCUUCAACGACCCGAAGAGAUAGCAGCUAUCUGUAGCCCGGCCAGCGAAGACCCAGACAGCCUCCGCUUACCCCGAGGGACCCGUCAGACAUAGUGGGCCAGGUGCAGAUAGGGGACCGACUACACCAACUGCUCUAAGAGAAGCAGACUGUAUUGUUCCAGAAGCCGGGAUACACCACUUUAGCCACUCACCAAGUGGACACCCCAGGGCAGCAACCUUUAAGGCAGGCCCCCUACCGGAUUCCUGAGGCGGUCCGAGCAGGGAUGAAGAAGGAGAUGACUGAGAUGCUCCAGCUAGAGGUCAUUGAGUCCUCCAAUAUUCCCUCGGCAUCCCCGGUAGUACUGGUCCCCAAGAAGGAUGGUACUACCCGAUUCUGUGUGGACUAUCGGAAGCUGAAUGAUAAGACGGUGACCGAUGCAUAUCCCAUGCCCAGGAUGGAUGAAUUAUUGGAUCGUAUAGCCAGGGGAAACUACCUAACUACCAUCGACCUCUGUAAAUGUUAUUGGCAAAUUCCCCUGGCCAGGGAGGCUAUCCACAAGUCGGCAUUUGUCACCCCGUUCGGCUUAUACCACUUUAAGGUUAUGCCAUUCGGGAUGAAGAAUGCCCCUGCUACUUUUCAGCGCUUGGUGGAUCGACUCCUUGAUGGCUUCCAGGAGUUUGCCUGCGCAUACCUGGACGACAUAGCGAUCCAUAGUGAGUCCUGGGAGGACCACUUAAUCCAAGUGGGAAUGGCCCUGNNNNNNNNNNNNNNNNNNNNNNNNNNNNNNNNNNNNNNNNNNNNNNNNNNNNNNNNNNNNNNNNNNNNNNNNNNNNNNNNNNNNNNNNNNNNNNNNNNNNGAUCAGAUUCGGGCUGCAGGCCUGAAAUGCCAUUUUGGGAUGGCCGAGGUACAGUAUUUGGGUUACCGAGUGGGGUGUGGGAACCAGCGGCCAGAGCCAGCCAAGAUAGAGUUAGAUUACCAAUUGGCCCACCCCCACUAUCAAGACCCAAGUACUAGCCUUUCUGGGAACAGCAGGGUACUAUAGAAAGUUUGUGUCAGACUAUAGCACGAUAGCCAAACCCCUGAUGGACUUAACCAAAAAGAAUCUUCCUCGACAGGUCCUGUGGAAACCGCGUUUCAAACACUAAAAACUGCUUUAAGUAAUGCUCCUGUCUUGGCUGCCCCAGCCCCUAAUCAACGUUUUAUUGUUCAUACAGACAUUUCCUUGUUCGGGCUGGGAGCUGUCCUCACCCCCAGCCUACCCCAGCCGAAAGCUCCUGCCACGAGAAGUCCGCUAUGCCGCGGUGGAAAAGGAGUGUUUGGCCUUGGUGUGUUCACUAAAGAAGUUAACCCCCUAUUUGUAUGGACAAGAGUUCACUCUGGUAACAGACCAUAACCCGUUGGUGUGGCUAAACCGGGUCGCUGGGGACAAUGGCAGACUGUUACGCUGGAGCUUAUCCCUACAACCAUUUAACUUUACUAUCACCUACCGACCCGGGAAACAGAAUGGCAAUGCCGACGGGUUAUCACGGCAAACUGACCUCAGUCCAGCCUAAUCCUUUGGUCUGGACAGCCUUAGCCUGCCCCAAAAAGGGGUCAGACGGUGUCUGGGAGCAUUGUUACACAGUCUCCGUUCCACAGACUGGUUAUAUUGUUAAUGUACACUUCUGUUGAUUGAGACUCUGUUUAACGGCCUGCAGGCCAGGCGAACGGACUAUGCGAACUGAUUAUAAAGCGUCUUUCGUCAGUACGAACGACCGACCACCCAGCUCCAGACGUGUGCCGCCACUUAACCCUGUCACCCGGCAAAGUCCCGAACGGCCGACCACCCAGCCCUAAGCGUGUGCCGCCACUUAACCCCGUCACCCCGCAAAGUGCUGAACGGUCGGCCACCCUGCGAGCAGAGGGUGCCGCUUAUCAACCUGCCCUCAGGCGUUGCGGUUUGUGGUUAACCGCAGGUUACGUGCCUCUCCUGGGCGGGCCCCAUUCGCACCACGAACGGAUGGGACAACCAGACAGGUAGCGGGGAUUCGCAUGAUUCUGUACCCGGCCUUCGUUCCAUACAUUGAACGUCGAAGUCCCGCUGGCCAUUGACGGACCCAAAAACAUGGCCGCCAUUGAGGGUGUGGAAACCUACAACUGAACAGCUUUUCAUACGGUGGAAAUCUUGUCCUCUGUUCGUGGGAACAGGGCACUAUUCGCACACCCAAUGCAUCUAACGGAGAGCUACCGAAUUAUAAGUAGAAGGAACUAUAUGCACUAUAUAAUGCCUGAGUUAUGCAUUUUUAUGUUGUUUUCUGGUUCAUAAUAAAGCAUGGACGUUUUGGCCGCUUGGAGAUAAUUAGAUUGUAUAACCGUUGGCCUCAUUAUCUCCAAGCUGGGCGGGUACAAGUUUGAAUGAUACACUGUAUUAUGAUUGGUUAAAUACUUGUACUGUACCGGUAUCCCAUCAGGUCCAUGGGGGGCUGUCCCUGGACCUGGAGACUUGCAUAAAUUGCCAUGCUUGUGUGCCAGUUAAGCCAGUUCGUUUUGACCCUCAACUCGCAGCCUCGACUCGUGUUGUAGGGACCCGGGAAUACUAGCACUUUCUUUACUCGUGGGAUAUUCUACACUUUCAGCUCCUACCGAAGGGAACCACGUUCGACUCUCUGAUUUCGGGAACCAGGACAUCCAAGCGAUCAACCCCCUUGCUAGACCGGGGGCAAUCGUAACAGUGUUCCUUUUUCUGUUGGAUGGUUGUCCUUGUUCGGGAUCGCAAAUAAAAAGGAAACAGUUUACUAGACACCGCCUAUUAUGCUGGAGAGUGGAAUCCAAUUGGCUGUUCCUGUCGCUAGGAAGAUGUACCACUCAGACAAUUUAUUGUUACCAUACUGUUUAUGUUAUUGUGAAGGACUUUUAUGCAAUUGCCUAUAUGCUUCAGUUUUAAUUCUCUCCCUGCUAUUUUAAUGUCUAUAUUGUUCGGUUCCAAAUGUUGAGAAUGAAUGUAUUCGUGUACCGAACAGGGAUGUUAAAAGUAUAAUUGUAUGUCUUAUAGAAAGUAUGUUUCUGAAAUUGUUAUAAAUUGUAAUGUUUCUGGCCAGCAGAUAAUUGAGCUUUGUGUAUUGUAGAAUCUCAAUUAUCUAGCCUAGCCCAGAGGAGGAGUUUUGUGUUGCUUAAAUUGUGAGUUCUGUGUGCCAGUAAAUCAGUCUUGUUCCAGCAUUAAGCUUUGGCUCAUGUGUGGAUUAUUCGGCGAUUCCAGGGAUAUUUCUGCUUAUGGAAUAGUGAGUGCUUUUCUUUUAUGGGAAGAAGGGAAUGAUUGACGGGGAUAUUUUCUUCUACCAUCACAGUUAUAUUUUUUUCUUUGCUGCUGAGGGAAAUAAAGAAAGAGUGCAGCAUAAUAAUCGCCUCCGUGUCGUCAUAAAAUCAUGAAUUUACAUCAUGUUAAUAGUAAAAUCUGUGAAUUNNNNNNNNNNNNNNNNNNNNNNNNNNNNNNNNNNNNNNNNNNNNNNNNNNNNNNNNNNNNNNNNNNNNNNNNNNNNNNNNNNNNNNNNNNNNNNNNNNNNUAUUUGGCAGGAUGGGAGAGAAUAUUGAGCAUAAUCAAAAUUCUUAAAAAAAUAAACCUCAAAAUAUCAAUAUAUCAUUACUCCUGGCUAAAGAAAUAUGGUGCUAAAAACAUGCAAAACUGAGCUGAUAUCCAGAAGGAAUCUGGAGACAUAGAACCUUGUAAAGGAUCCUUCUAUUCGUGCAGCGAUGAUCCUUGCAGCUUCUCCCGAAAUCCAGCUGAAACAAAGUGAUUAUAACUCCCAAUCCCCCAAACAUGAGUCGAGACUUCAUGAAGGGGUAAAACGAUCUGAUUUACUGUGGGCUACCCGCCUGGUAUUUAUGCAGGUCUUCCACCUGGUGGACACUCCCCUAGGGGACCAGAUGGAAGACUGGGACAAAAGUAUCACAGUAGCCAAUCACAGUGGCUAUAGCAUAAGCACUCCCUUUUUACAUAAAUCACUCCCUCUUUUCCAUCCUGGAGAUAAUUAAUUUAAGGUAGCAAAGAGUGCCUUAAUUAUCUCCAGGUAGAAAGAAACAUGGCUUUCUUAUUUUAGCAAAACAGCAUAAAAAUCUAUAACUUUCCUUUUACAUAACAUAAACUUUAAGUCCCACAUAUCCCCAGAUAGCUUGGAUCAGAAACAUCGACUGAAGUUUGACUUUCGCUGGCCGUUCGUGUGUUUGUAGCCGACUACAAGUUCCAUACCGUAGCUAUCUGGGGUCGGUCACUUUCGCAUACUUCCAACGCACGAAUGAAGUAGUAUCCCCUUCAUUUGUGUGUUUUUCCACUGUACAAACGAGGAUUUGAAGAGGUAGCAGCGGUGUUCGACAAAAUAAGUAGCCGAAAUUAGUUUCAGGGAAUCCUCGCAAUUUACCGCUGAGCGUUCGACAAAAUGGCGAUUGCCAAGUGUUCGGUAAACGAACGCGAACCACCAGCUAUUCCCCAAUUAGUCUGUGGUUAACCGCAACAGUCUGGGUGGUUAAUAGGCGCCACACGACCUCAGUGGGAGGUCGGUGGUUCGGUAGUUCAUUCGCUUUUCUCGCUAUUUUCACAAAAUCCCGCUGUAAUCAUCCAAAUAACCGAACAGGCUGGUUCGCAUGGUCUGUUUAAUAAGGGAUUUCGUUACACAGCUCCCCCUUAGUCCCAUGGAACGGCAUACCUGCUUAGAUCCUAACGGGUCGGCUAAGGGAUGUCCGGUAAAACAAGAAAAACAAACAAAAUAACUACUUCUCCAGUUCAGUUUGCCGCGACAGGCCAUCUGCAUUGGCAUUCUGCUUCCCGGGGCGAUACUGCAUUGUAAAAUUAUAGGGUUGCAGUGCCAACCUCCAUCUGAGUAAUCUGGGGUUAUCGCCAGCUACUCUGUUAAGCCAAAUCAAAGGGUUGUGGUCAGUCAGCACUGUGAAAGAGCGUCCAUACAGGUAAGGUUGUAGUUUUUUAAGUGCCCAAACUAAUGCCAGACACACUUUUUCCACGGUGGCAUAGCUGACUUCGCGUGGUAACAGUUUUCUGCUCAGAUACGCCACCAGGUGAUCCAUGUCAUCGUCUCCCACCUGGCUCAAUACUGCUCCCAGUCCAAACAUUGAGGCAUCUGUGUGAACAAGAAACCUUUUAGUAUGAUCAGGUGCCGCCAACACAGGAGAUGCACUUAACGCAGCCUUGAGUUACUAAAAACCUUUUAGUAUGAUCAGGUGCCGCCAACACAGGAGAUGCACUUAACGCAGCCUUGAGUUUCUGGAAAGCCUCCUCACACUCAGUUCACAGAGGCCAUUGGUUUGGGGGUGAUAGGGGGAACUUAAUAUGGGUUUUAUCCCACAGCUCUGCCAGAGCUGUUGGGUAACCAGCGCUGUGAAUUGGGUUCCCUGAUCCGACACUAUCUCCCUAGGGAAUCCCACCCUAGUAAAUACCUGAACCAGUGCUUCCGCUACCGUCUCUGCAUGUAUAUUUGACAGAGCUAUAGCUUCGGGGUAGCGGGUAGCGUAGUCCACCACAGUAAGAAUGUAUUUCUUACCGGAUGGACUGGGUUUGCUGAGUGGCCCGACUAAAUCAACUGCCACUCGGAAAAAUGGUUCCUCAAUGAUGGGUAGGGGACGUAGUUUUGCCCUGGGGUGAUCCCCUCUCUUCCCUACCUUUUGGCAUACCUCGCAGGUCCUACAAUAAUCCUGCAAAUCCCUAGUGACCCCCGACCAGAAAAAUGAUUGGGUGAGUCGGUCUCUAGUCUUUUUAAUGCCUAAGUGACCUGCUAGGGGGAUAUCGUGGCUAAUCGGUAACAGUUCUACCCAAUACUUACGGGGCACUAUUAACUGUCUUUUUUCUACCUGACCUGCUCCUUUCCCUGUCCCCCAAGUCACUCGGUACAGUAAACCCUUUUCCCAGAUAAACCUUGCCUGAUCUCCGUCUCCCUGGGGUUGUUCGGCCUCCCUCCGAUAUCCCUUUAAGGUGGGAUCUUCCCGCUGAGCUUGCUCAAAGUCUUGAGAGGUACCCCAGUAAGAAGUAUGGUCAGGGUGAAUCGUCAGAGGGUUAUUGCUUACCUGGUCAUGGGUUGAGGGGGAGGCCUCCAUAGCUCUGGAUUGCUGCCGGGUGGUAACAGGUAGGACUCCUUCUGGACUGCAGGCUGCCAAUUGGGACGUCAUGCAUCCUAAAUCAUUCCCCAGCAACACUUCCGCUGGCAAAUCUGGCAUGAUGCCCACUUCCACGGCCUUGGCCCCCGUACCCCAAUCAAUGUGUACCCGGGCUGUUGGUAGUUUAUGAAUUGCCCCUCCAGCCACCCUUACAGCAAUGGUGCAUCCUGUGUGCUGGGUCGGGGUGACCCGGUGUGGCUGGACCAAGGUAAUAGUAGCCCCGCUGUCUCUCAGUCCCUGAGCCUCUUGUCCAUUUAGCUUUACCGACUGGCGGUGGUGCGCCCUGUUAUCCCCAGCUGCUUGCACAGGGUUCACCUCAUGUAAGGUGGCCCAAUUCUCACUGUGGUUACUGGGUGUCUCUUGAGUCAGAGAGUUGUAAUCCUCUUGCACACAGUGUGCGGCUGCUUUGGUCAGUGGUACUGGUGUGGGCAAUUAGGUUUGAUGUUCCCCACUUGCUUGCACCCAUAACACAUUGGAGCGGUCUUUUGGUACCCCGGGGUUGUGGUAUUGCCCCCGGUGGUGGUACCCUCUGUGGCAUAGCUGGCGGACCAGAUGCAGGCCGCUGGCCCUGGAACCCUCAAUUUCCAUCCAUCCGUCUGCUCUCAUGAAAUUCGUCUGCCAGCCUUGCUGCCUCCUCCACCGUUUUUGGCUUUCUGUCUCUGACCCAGUCUCUCACCUCUGCUGGUGUAUAAUCAAAAAACUGCUCCAGUAAUAUCAAUUGCUCAGCAUCCUCUAAGGUAGUUGCCUGAUUCCCCUGUAUCCAAUUACUAAAAGCGCGUUGCAUACGAAAUGCCCACUCAGUAUACGAAUCCUUGCCUUGCCUCCUGAGGGCCCGAAAUUUCCUUCUAUGGGCUUCAGGAGUUACAGCGUAACGAGCCAACAAAAUCUCUUUUAUUUUUUCGUAGUUUUGUAUAUCCCCAUCUGGCACAGCUCUCAACGCUUCGGCUGCUCUACCUGAUAAUUUGCUGCUUAAUACUGCAGCCCAGUUAGCUCUUUCCAAAUCUUCUAGCACACAUUGUCUCUCAAAAUCUUGCAAAUAAUUAUCAAUAUCCAUCUCACCUUCCACGAAGCUUUUAAAUGCAGCGUAGUUGAUUUUCCGCUAACGCCCCAUUGUAGAUCCAGAUAGCGACAAUAUAUCCACAGGAGGUGAUCUGUUGCUGGCUUCUCGGGCUUCCCUGGCAUUCUGGGUCUCUGUAGCUUGUGCCAAGAUCUGUACCACGAUCUCCGGUGCAGGGUUAGGUCCUACCAGGCUGAGUCUCCAUCUCACAUCCUUCUGGAACUCUGUUUCCUCUGCAUUCGCCAUUUGUUGUUCGCCAGUUUGAUCGCUCUCCAGUAGUUCGGCUAUUAACGUGGCUUUCGGUUUGUUGCUUGCCACUAUGCCUCGAGCUUCCAGCAGUUCCUUCAAUGUAGUUCGUUUCAAGUGUUCGUAUCUAUGCGCCAUUCACCACUUGUUUCACUUGUAUUUAUGCAGGUCUUCCACCUGGUGGACACUCCGCUAGGGGACCAGAUGGAAGACUGGGACAAAAGUAUCACAGUAGCCAAUCACAGUGGCUAUAGCAUAAGCACUCCCCUUUUACAUAAAUCACUCCCUCUUUUCCAUCCUGGAGAUAAUUAACUUAAGGUAGCAAAGAGAGCCUUAAUUAUCUCCAGGUAGAAAGAAACAUGGCUUUCUCAUUUUAGCAAAUCAGCAUAAAAAUCUAUAACUUUCCUUUUACAUAACAUAAACUUUAAGUCCCACAUAUCCCCAGAUAGCUUGGAUCAGAAACGUCGACUGAAGUUUGAUUUUCGCCGGUCGUUCGUGUGUGUUUGUAGCCGACUACAAGUUCCAUACUGUAGUUAUCUGGGGUCGGUCACUUUCGCAUACUUCCAGCGCACGAAUGAAGUAGUAUCCCCUUCAUUUGUGUGUUUUUCCACUGUACGAAUGAGGAUUUGAAGAGGUAGCAGCGGUGUUCAACAAAAUAAGUAGCCGAAAUUAGUUCCAGGGAAUCGUUGCCAUUUACCGCUGAGCGUUCGACAAUACAAAAUGGCGAUUGCCACGUGUUCGGUAAAUGAACGCGGACCACCAGCUAUUCCCCAAUUAGUCUGUGGUUAACCGCAACAGUCUGGGUGGUUAAUAGGCGCCACACGACCUCAUUGGGAGAUCGGUGGUUCGGUAGUUCAUUCGCUUUUUUCGCUAUUUUUACGAAAUCCCGCUGUAAUCAUCCAAAUAACCGAACAGGCUGGUUCGCAUGGUCUGUUUAAUGAGGGAUUUUGUUACAAACCUCAUGUGCAAACAGAGAUUCCAUGCUUGCAAGCAAACUACAAAAUCAGAAACUGAAACUGUAAAACUGACAAUGUAAGGCUUAACACGGAGCAAAGCAGAUCCCCAAAUGGACAUGUGUUCUGGUUUAUUGGUUUUGAGUAAGAAGGAGAGUAGAAGCGAUUAGUCCAGGCCCUGGAGACUUAAUAGCUGGAGCACACUAGGUACCCUGGUCUCCAAACAGAAAGAGAAGAUGACAGCAGGUAUCUACUCAAAGACAGACAGUUACUGAAAUACUGGAAUGCUGUGCUACCUGUAAGUAGCUACUGUUACAAGACCAUAUAUUGCCACCAUAUUAGGAGUCAGCACCCUGACUUAAAAUGAAAAAUGCAAUAAUUAGGAAGUACAAUCCAAACUAAAUUAUGGUAGUAUCCCGGUACAGAGUGUGUUUGAUUUGUGAUUCCAUCAUGUGGUGAUUAAGAGAUACUGAAUUUGAAUGACCCGCCAAUUGCCCCAAAUUUUGGAAAAAUCUAAAUUUGUUCGAAGCCGAAUGUAAUAAAAUUCUAUUGAUUACAAUAUUUACAGUUCACUAAAGGCUGUAUCUCGAAAAUUAUACGGAUCUACCCUUUAAAUACAAAAAAACUACAAAGGAAAUUAGGAACAAAAUGUUAAAAAUGUAUGUUUUUUCUGUUUAGAGUUAAUUGAGUUAGCCCAUACAGAGUCAUACAGAAUACUCGGAUGUUACAUUAUAUUGGAGUGAUACAGAAUACUCGGGGAGGUUCCAUUAUAUUGGAGUGAUACAGAAUACUCGGACGUUACAUUAUAUUGGAGUGAUACAGAAUACUCGGACGUUAUAUUAUAUUGGAGUGAUACAGAAUACUCGGACGUUGAAUUAUAUUGGAGUGAUACAGAAUACUCGGGGAGGUUACAUUUUAUUGGAGUGUGUAGCAGAGACCCUCUGGCUGUCCAGCAUAUUCCCUGUUUAUUUGCUAGGUGACCCCAGAGACUUUCGUGUGGAUUUUUGCUAAAGACUUUCGUGUGGAUUUAUUAUACAGUCAAAGCAUUCGUCUGGUUGUCAGUAAAAGCAAAAAAUUCAAGAAACCACUGUGGUACUCCACAGAUGUGGCCAAAAUAGUUAAAAACAAAAAGUUAGCAUUUAGGAAUUAUAAAAAAACCCAGAGUGAGGAAGACAAAAUGAUCUAUAAGAUUAGGCAGAAAGAGGCUAAGCAAGUUAUAAGAGCUUCCAAAUCACACACAGAAGAGAAAAUAGUACAGUCAGUAAAAAAGGGGGAUAAAACAUUUUUUAGAUACAUAAAUGAGAAAAGAAAAGUAAAACAAGGAUUAGUUAGAUUAAAAACAAAAGAAGGAAGGUAUGUAGAAGAGGAUAAAGGUCUAGCUGACUGCCUCAAUGAAUAUUUUUGUUCUGUAUUUACAGAUGAAAAUGAAGGAAAGGGACCUCAGUUGAGAAAAAGGAUAAAUGAGUCAUUUAUUACACGUGAGUUUACAGAGGAAGAGGUUCUAUUUCAACUGUCAAAAGUAAAGACAAAUAAGUCAAUGGGACCUGAUGGAAUACACCCAAAGCUAUUAAUAGAGCUUAGUGGUGUACUAGCAAAACCAUUAACAGAUUUAUUUAACCAAUCAUUGUUAACAGGAGUAGUCCCAGAAGAUUGGAAGUUAGCGAAUGUUGUGCCCAUUUACAAGAAAGGUAAUAGGGAGGAGUCGGGCAACUAUAGGCCAGUAAGCCUUACUUCAGUAGUGGGGAAAGUGAUGGAAACCAUGUUAAAGGAUAGGAUUGCUCAACAUCUAAAAACACAUGGAUUUCAAGAUCAGAGAUAACAUGGGUUUACUUCAGGGAGAUCAUGCCAAACUAAUCUUGUUGAUUUUUUUGAUUGGGUAACUCAAAUUAUAGAUCAGGGUGGUGCAGUAGACAUUGCUUACCUAGAUUUCAGUAAGGCUUUUGACACUGUUGCACAUAGAAGGCUUAUCAAUAAACUGCAAUCUUUAAGUUUGGAUUCCAAUAUUGUUGAAUGGGUAAGGCAGUGGCUGAGUGACAGGCAACAGAGGGUUGUAGUUAAUGGAAUAUAUUCGAAGCUUGGACUUGUC